Non-coding RNA from Melanogaster broomeanus, 82 nucleotides. Lineage: Eukaryota; Fungi; Basidiomycota; Agaricomycetes; Boletales; Melanogastraceae. The record is from the annotation of a GenBank genome assembly.
GGCCUUGUAGUCUAGAGGUACGAUACUUGCUUUGGGUACUUCACAAUUGCAAGUGGCCUGGGUUCGAUUCCCAGCAAGGCCC